CAACUGUCACAACGGCUUCCUGACGUGACAGUUUUGCACAUAAUGGAGCA
This is a regulatory RNA element of 50 nucleotides. It matches the Rfam family "SAM/SAH riboswitch aptamer". The record is from Rfam.